This 760-nucleotide ribosomal RNA is filed under the name uncultured Gammaproteobacteria bacterium. RNAcentral describes it as "bacterial SSU rRNA". It matches the Rfam family "Bacterial small subunit ribosomal RNA", at positions 10 to 765 of the family's 1533-position model. Lineage: Bacteria; Pseudomonadati; Pseudomonadota; Gammaproteobacteria. The record is from RNAcentral.
AGUUGGAUCCUGGCUCAGAUUGAACGCUGGCGGCAUGCCUAACACAUGCAAGUCGAACGGUAACAGGUCUUCGGAUGCUGACGAGUGGCGGACGGGUGAGUAACGCGUAGGAAUCUGUCUUUGAGUGGGGGACAACCCAGGGAAACUUGGGCUAAUACCGCAUAAGCCCUGAGGGGGAAAGCGGGGGAUCUUCGGACCUCGCGCUGGAAGAGGAGCCUACGUCUGAUUAGCUAGUUGGUAGGGUAAAGGCCUACCAAGGCGACGAUCGGUAGCUGGUCUGAGAGGACGACCAGCCACACUGGGACUGAGACACGGCCCAGACUCCUACGGGAGGCAGCAGUGGGGAAUUUUUCGCAAUGGGGGCAACCCUGACGAAGCAAUGCCGCGUGAAUGAAGAAGGCCUUCGGGUUGUAAAGUUCUUUCGUGGAGGACGAAAAGGUGGGUGCUAAUAUCGCCUGCUGUUGACGUGAAUCCAAGAAGAAGCACCGGCUAACUCCGUGCCAGCAGCCGCGGUAAUACGGGGGGUGCAAGCGUUAAUCGGAAUCACUGGGCGUAAAGGGUGCGUAGGCGGUGCAUUAGGUCUGUCGUGAAAUCCCCGGGCUCAACCUGGGAAUGGCGGUGGAAACCGGUGUACUAGAGUAUGGGAGAGGGUGGUGGAAUUCCAGGUGUAGCGGUGAAAUGCGUAGAGAUCUGGAGGUAUCAUCAUUGGCGAUGGCUGCCACCUGGCCCAUUACUGACUCUGAAGGCACGAAAGGCGUGG